RNAcentral lists this ribosomal RNA (393 nucleotides) under uncultured archaeon. RNAcentral describes it as "bacterial SSU rRNA". It matches the Rfam family "Archaeal small subunit ribosomal RNA", at positions 37 to 435 of the family's 1478-position model. The record is from RNAcentral.
GUUUCGGCUAAGCCAUGCGAGUCUAGGGAUCGCAAGAUACCGGCAUACUGCUCAGUAUCACGCGGAUAAUCUGCCCCCAGGUGAAGAAUACCCUCGGGAAACUGAGGCUAAUACUUCAUAAUCACUAUAUGCUGGAAUGCUUUGGUGAUGAAAGAAUUUCGCCUGAGGAUGAGUCUGCGGCCUAUCAGGUCGUAUGUGGUGUAAUGGACCACAUAGCCUAAGACGGGUACGGGCCUUGAAAGAGGGAGCCCGGAGAUGGACUCUGAGACAUUAGUCCAGGCCCUACGGGGCGCAGCAGGCGCGAAAACUGUGCAAUGCGCGAAAGCGCGACACGGGAAGCCUGAGUGCCUUAACACAGUUAAGGCUUUUCUCAAGCCUAAAAAGCUUGAGGAA